This 437-nucleotide long non-coding RNA is filed under the name Elaeis guineensis (African oil palm). RNAcentral describes it as "long non-coding RNA (EGUI_LNC046872)". The record is from RNAcentral. Lineage: Eukaryota; Viridiplantae; Streptophyta; Magnoliopsida; Arecales; Arecaceae.
UGGAGGUCAUGGAGAACUCGUCAGACCCUAUCGUCAGUCAUAUACCAGAUUGGCUUGACUCGAGUUUUCUUAUGAAUUCCAUGAAUUUUUUUUUUAGUAUUCAUACUUGUUUUGGCCAAAAUUUUUUUGAACUCAGUCUCACAAAUCGCAUAGGACUUUUUAUUUUCUAUUAAGAUCGAUAGAUUCCAUCUAGGUGCAUCAUACAUAAUACAUGUUUUUGCAUAUAUUGGUAUUGAAUUACACUAGAUACUCAAUAUAAGAUUUUAUGGCAUAUAUUUUCUUUUGAUACUAUUCAUAUAUUAUUUUCAAUUAUAUUGUUAUAUUAGUGUGAGUGUGUGGAGAUUUUUACUAGGCUGAAAGCUCCCCACCCAUCUUUCUCUUCUUUUCUUUUUAAGAGUUACAGGAUACAUACUUUUGGCUAUGUUUGGAAUCAUGAU